Molecule: ribosomal RNA, 445 nt
Filed under: uncultured Propionibacterium sp.
Lineage: Bacteria; Bacillati; Actinomycetota; Actinomycetes; Propionibacteriales; Propionibacteriaceae
Description: bacterial SSU rRNA
Rfam family: Bacterial small subunit ribosomal RNA
Source: RNAcentral
CCUACGGGAGGCUGCAGUGGGGAAUAUUGCACAAUGGGCGAAAGCCUGAUGCAGCAACGCCGCGUGCGGGAUGACGGCCUUCGGGUUGUAAACCGCUUUCGCCUGUGACGAAGCGUGAGUGACGGUAAUGGGUAAAGAAGCACCGGCUAACUACGUGCCAGCAGCCGCGGUGAUACGUAGGGUGCGAGCGUUGUCCGGAUUUAUUGGGCGUAAAGGGCUCGUAGGUGGUUGAUCGCGUCGGAAGUGUAAUCUUGGGGCUUAACCCUGAGCGUGCUUUCGAUACGGGUUGACUUGAGGAAGGUAGGGGAGAAUGGAAUUCCUGGUGGAGCGGUGGAAUGCGCAGAUAUCAGGAGGAACACCAGUGGCGAAGGCGGUUCUCUGGGCCUUUCCUGACGCUGAGGAGCGAAAGCGUGGGGAGCGAACAGGCUUAGAUACCCCAGUAGUC